RNAcentral lists this unclassified non-coding RNA (240 nucleotides) under soil metagenome. RNAcentral describes it as "partial contains 5.8S ribosomal RNA, internal transcribed spacer 2, and large subunit ribosomal RNA". The record is from RNAcentral.
AACUGAUACUACCUGCGGGAACCUGCGGAAGGAUCAUUACAUGGCGGAGGAGGUGGGCACCUAGUAAAAACAAAACCCUAGGUGUGUUGCCUACCACGCUUUCUACCCUUGUCUAUUUGCACCUUUUGUCGUUCCCUCGGUGGGUCUUGAACCUGCCGGCGGCAACUUUCAAAAACCUUUUGUAGUUAGUAUCUAAUUCUUCUGAUCAAAUAUUCAAUCGUUACAACUUUUAACAACGGA